GGCAGCCGCCGCGGGAACACCGGCGGCCCGAGUGGUGAUCGUGAUUAUUGGGUCUAAAGGGUCCGUAGCCGGUUUGGUCAGUCCUCCGGGAAAUCUGAUAGCUCAACUAUUAGGCUUUCGGGGGAUACUGCCAGACUUGGAACCGGGAGAGGUAAGAGGUACUACAGGGGUAGGAGUGAAAUCUUGUAAUCCCUGUGGGACCACCUGUGGCGAAGGCGUCUUACCAGAACGGGUUCGACGGUGAGGGACGAAAGCUGGGGGCACGAACCGGAUUAGAUACCCGGGUAGUCCCAGCCGUAAACGAUGCUCGCUAGGUGUCAGGCAUGGCGCGACCGUGUCUGGUGCCGCAGGGAAGCCGUGAAGCGAGCCACCUGGGAAGUACGGCCGCAAGGCUGAAACUUAAAGGAAUUGGCGGGGGAGCACAACAAACGGGUGGAGCCUGCGGUUUAAUUGGACUCAACGCCGGACAACUCACCGGGGGCGACAGCAAUAUGUAGGCCAAGCUGAAGACUUUGCCCGAAUCGCUGAGAAGUGGUGCAUGG
This 542-nucleotide ribosomal RNA is filed under the name uncultured archaeon. Its description in RNAcentral is "bacterial SSU rRNA". It matches the Rfam family "Archaeal small subunit ribosomal RNA", at positions 457 to 997 of the family's 1478-position model. The record is from RNAcentral.